This 1372-nucleotide ribosomal RNA is filed under the name uncultured bacterium. Its description in RNAcentral is "bacterial SSU rRNA". It matches the Rfam family "Bacterial small subunit ribosomal RNA", at positions 28 to 1381 of the family's 1533-position model. The record is from RNAcentral.
GAUGAACGCUGGCGGCGUGCCUAAUACAUGCAAGUCGAGCGAACGGACGAGAAGCUUGCUUCUCUGAUGUUAGCGGCGGACGGGUGAGUAACACGUGGAUAACCUACCUAUAAGACUGGGAUAACUUCGGGAAACCGGAGCUAAUACCGGAUAAUAUUUUGAACCGCAUGGUUCAAAAGUGAAAGACGGUCUUGCUGUCACUUAUAGAUGGAUCCGCGCUGCAUUAGCUAGUUGGUAAGGUAACGGCUUACCAAGGCAACGAUGCAUAGCCGACCUGAGAGGGUGAUCGGCCACACUGGAACUGAGACACGGUCCAGACUCCUACGGGAGGCAGCAGUAGGGAAUCUUCCGCAAUGGGCGAAAGCCUGACGGAGCAACGCCGCGUGAGUGAUGAAGGUCUUCGGAUCGUAAAACUCUGUUAUUAGGGAAGAACAUAUGUGUAAGUAACUGUGCACAUCUUGACGGUACCUAAUCAGAAAGCCACGGCUAACUACGUGCCAGCAGCCGCGGUAAUACGUAGGUGGCAAGCGUUAUCCGGAAUUAUUGGGCGUAAAGCGCGCGUAGGCGGUUUUUUAAGUCUGAUGUGAAAGCCCACGGCUCAACCGUGGAGGGUCAUUGGAAACUGGAAAACUUGAGUGCAGAAGAGGAAAGUGGAAUUCCAUGUGUAGCGGUGAAAUGCGCAGAGAUAUGGAGGAACACCAGUGGCGAAGGCGACUUUCUGGUCUGUAACUGACGCUGAUGUGCGAAAGCGUGGGGAUCAAACAGGAUUGGAUACCCUGGUAGUCCACGCCGUAAACGAUGAGUGCUAAGUGUUAGGGGGUUUCCGCCCCUUAGUGCUGCAGCUAACGCAUUAAGCACUCCGCCUGGGGAGUACGACCGCAAGGUUGAAACUCAAAGGAAUUGACGGGGACCCGCACAAGCGGUGGAGCAUGUGGUUUAAUUCGAAGCAACGCGAAGAACCUUACCAAAUCUUGACAUCCUUUGACAACUCUAGAGAUAGAGCCUUCCCCUUCGGGGGACAAAGUGACAGGUGGUGCAUGGUUGUCGUCAGCUCGUGUCGUGAGAUGUUGGGUUAAGUCCCGCAACGAGCGCAACCCUUAAGCUUAGUUGCCAUCAUUAAGUUGGGCACUCUAAGUUGACUGCCGGUGACAAACCGGAGGGAGGUGGGGAUGACGUCAAAUCAUCAUGCCCCUUAUGAUUUGGGCUACACACGUGCUACAAUGGACAAUACAAAGGGCAGCGAAACCGCGAGGUCAAGCAAAUCCCAUAAAGUUGUUCUCAGUUCGGAUUGUAGUCUGCAACUCGACUACAUGAAGCUGGAAUCGCUAGUAAUCGUAGAUCAGCAUGCUACGGUGAAUACGUUCCCGGGUCU